RNAcentral lists this transfer RNA (90 nucleotides) under Ignavibacteriaceae bacterium. RNAcentral's name for it is "tRNA-Ser". It matches the Rfam family "tRNA". From Rfam's summary of the family: Transfer RNA (tRNA) molecules are approximately 80 nucleotides in length. Their secondary structure includes four short double-helical elements and three loops (D, anti-codon, and T loops). Further hydrogen bonds mediate the characteristic L-shaped molecular structure. tRNAs have two regions of fundamental functional importance: the anti-codon, which is responsible for specific mRNA codon recognition, and the 3' end, to which the tRNAs corresponding amino acid is attached (by aminoacyl-tRNA synthetases). tRNAs cope with the degeneracy of the genetic code in two manners: having more than one tRNA (with a specific anti-codon) for a particular amino acid; and 'wobble' base-pairing, i.e. permitting non-standard base-pairing at the 3rd anti-codon position. Lineage: Bacteria; Pseudomonadati; Ignavibacteriota; Ignavibacteria; Ignavibacteriales; Ignavibacteriaceae. The record is from RNAcentral.
GGAGAGUUGGCAGAGUGGUUGAAUGCGGCGGUCUUGAAAACCGUUAUACCCGCAAGGGUAUCCGGGGUUCGAAUCCCUGACUCUCCGCCA